GCUUCGGGCUCUUCUUGCGCAGCUUAGGUGGAAGGCUGAGAAAGGCAAUUCCGGUUGUCUGGAGCCAUCAGUGAGAUACCACUCUGGGAGAGCUAGGAGUCUAAUGGCGUUCCUUGAAUCAGGACGCUUGACAGUUUCAGGUGGGCAGUUUUACUGGGGCGGUAGCCUCCUAAAAGGUAACGGAGGCGUGCAAAGGUUCCCUCAGGCUGGACGGAAAUCAGCCAUAGAGUGUAAAGGCAGAAGGGAGCUUGACUGCAAGACCUACAAGUCGAGCAGGGACGAAAGUCGGCCUUAGUGAUCCGACGGUGCCGUGUGGAAGGGCCGUCGCUCAACGGAUAAAAGUUACUCUAGGGAUAACA
This 359-nucleotide ribosomal RNA is filed under the name uncultured eukaryote. RNAcentral's name for it is "LSU rRNA". It matches the Rfam family "Bacterial large subunit ribosomal RNA", at positions 2120 to 2479 of the family's 2925-position model. The record is from RNAcentral.